RNAcentral lists this ribosomal RNA (1287 nucleotides) under uncultured bacterium. Its description in RNAcentral is "partial 16S ribosomal RNA". It matches the Rfam family "Bacterial small subunit ribosomal RNA", at positions 94 to 1399 of the family's 1533-position model. The record is from RNAcentral.
AGUGGCGGACGGGUGAGUAACACGUGAGCAACCGAUCCCAGAGAGGGGGACAACUUUGAGAAAUCAAGGCUAAUACCGCGUAAGACCACGCUAUCGGAUGGUAGAGGGGUAAAAGGAGAAAUCCGCUUUGGGGAGGGCUCGCGACUGAUUAGGCAGUUGGUGAGGUAACGGCCCACCAAACCGACGAUCAGUAGCCGUGCUGAGAGGCAGGCCGGCCACACUGGAACUGAGAGACGGUCCAGACUCCUACGGGAGGCAGCAGUGGGGAAUCUUGGGCAAUGGGGGAAACCCUGACCCAGCGACGCCGCGUGAAGGAAGAAGGUCUUCGGAUUGUAAACUUCUGUGACAGGGGAAGAAAAGAAUGACGGUACCCUGAGAGGAAGCCCCGGCUAACUACGUGCCAGCAGCCGCGGUAAUACGUAGGGGGCGAGCGUUAUCCGGAAUUAUUGGGCGUAAAGAGUACGUAGGUGGUUUCCUAAGCACGGGGUUUAAGGCAAUGGCUUAACUAUUGUUCGCCCCAUGAACUGGGUAACUUGAGUGCUGGAGGGGAAAGCGGAAUUCCUAGUGUAGCGGUGAAAUGCGUAGAUAUUAGGAGGAACACCAGUGGCGAAGGCGGCUUUCUGGACAGUAACUGACACUGAGGUACGAAAGUGUGGGGAGCAAACAGGAUUAGAUACCCUGGUAGUCCACACUGUAAACGAUGAGCACUAGGUGUCGGCCUAGCAAUAGGUCGGUGCCGCAGUUAACGCAUUAAGUGCUCCGCCUGGGGAGUACGUACGCAAGUAUGAAACUCAAAGGAAUUGACGGGGACCCGCACAAGCAGCGGAGCAUGUGGUUUAAUUCGAAGCAACGCGAAGAACCUUACCAGGACUUGACAUCCCUCUGAACGGCUUGAUAACGAUAGCUUUUCUUCGGACAGAGGUGACAGGUGGUGCAUGGUUGUCGUCAGCUCGUGUCGUGAGAUGUUGGGUUAAGUCCCGCAACGAGCGCAACCCUUGUCUUUAGUUGCCAGCAUUUGGUUGGGCACUCUAAAGAGACUGCCGGGGAUAACUCGGAGGAAGGUGGGGAUGACGUCAAAUCAUCAUGCCCCUUAUGUUCUGGGCUACACACGUGCUACAAUGGUCGGUACAAAGAGUUGCGAGACCGUGAGGUGGAGCCAAUCUCAAAAGCCGAUCCCAGUUCGGAUUGCAGGCUGCAACUCGCCUGCAUGAAGUCGGAGUUGCUAGUAAUCGCAGAUCAAAAUGCUGCGGUGAAUGCGUUCCCGGGUCUUGCACACACCGCCCGUCA